CCCAAUACUUUUAUCAAUCACAUCGGACAUCACCAGAUAAUGCAUAGUUUUGUAUUUGAAGGUGACAAGAUAACUCAAGAAGCGACUAGUAAUUCUCUGCAUCAGCUGUGUUACGGUCAUUCGCUUAUGAACAGAGUCACAACAAGGCACGUCAAGGCACAUCAACUUAAUAUUAGUCUUUCUAUUCGCCGCCCAUGUACGAGCUAUUACAAUCUUACUGUCAUCAAGCAACUCCAAUAGGUUGGAAAACUUAAAGAUCAAAAGCUGCACAACUGAUAUGAAGCUUUCAUGGCCUAAAAUCUCACAAGUUCACAACACUAUUAAAGGCAAACAUAUACAGCAAUCACAAACAAUACAAGGAUCACUUGGACUAGGUAUCCGAGAAGCUCUUAAGAGGAUCAAAGUAUCCAAUAACAUGAUCUGCCACUAGUAAAAUCCUAAGAGAUAUCAAGCAUUGGUCUAAUCCCCAGUAUUAUGAGUUCACAAAAUCGACAGCAUGAAUUUAUCCUCUCUCUUCCCAUGGCAAAAGCAGAAUCUUGUAACUACUUGACAUUAGACAUUAAAACAACACUAAUUUAAUGAGACUGAAAAAACCAAUGUAGAAUGCAUAUGGGUGGGAGGACUAGCUUCAAUCCUAUUGAUGAACUUGACUUCACCUUAAGCCUGAUGGCACGCAUUUCCUCUCCCCACAAGUAUGGGUUAGAGGGUGAGUUUUUGGGUUCAAGUUUCUUCGGUCACAUGAGUUUCUUUUCCAUGCAAAAAACAAAAAUCAUAGUAAACUCCAUAGUAAAAUUUGUGCUUAGCUUGUUCGAUCUACUUAAACCAGUGUCACUAGCAUACCUUUGAACAAUCUGUUUAACUUCCUCAAAAAUAUCACAAACAAUGCAAAGCUUCUUUUACCCCUACCCUUAUCUCUGAAAGCCAUGCAUCUACUACAAUACUAAACCAGGGAUUAAGUACUUAUUUAUAUAAGGCUCAAAACCCUCAAUUGCGGUUCAAUUCUAUACAACAAUCUCCCAUGCACUUGUCUAAAGUCUUUUUUAUCUCACCAUCUGACAUACUACAUAUAUACUCAGGAAUAACCAGUUCCAUAUGAAAAAUUAUAACAUUUAUUGAGGCCUAUAUCCUUUAUUAUUUGUUUUGCUCGUGCCCUAAUCCUUCAAUCCGGAGGGAUGAAAUAACCUUCACCCUGUCCCUGUUUUUCACAAAUUUGUUUCCUUCCUUUUAAGCAAUGAACAACUGCAAUAUUUGCCUCAUAUUGACAUGCCUGUAUUACUCAACUAGCCAAACUAAUACAAGUAUUAAAAGAAAGAAAUGCAGGAAAGGUAAAGAAGAAGACACAUGCUUCAUCUCUUUCUUCCAACUGCCAUCUUAUGAGGCUUCCUAGUGUGAAGGGUUUGUUUUGUGAGAAACACUGUUAUCAUUGUUAUUCUAAUGUCAGUGUGAGAAUGCGGGUGAAGUGAAACAAACCAAGUUAUAGUGAUUCAUCUGGUACCUUCUUGUAAUCAAUUCAACACAAGAAGAAUAGAAUAACAUCUAGGAACUCCGAUCAGUACCUAUGACUAAGCAUCUCGAUUCUUUGUAGUUACACAUAUAUUCACAUAUUAUAUUUUUAGAUUUUCACAGGACACACACAUCACCAAAGAUAUUUUAAUUGUGGUAUUAUGGUCUCUCUCACAUGGUACGUUUAAGUGGCACCACAAGUGACUCCGAGGUUCUGAUAAUUCCAUCCUCAAGAAGCAUGUCCCAACAAAACGGAGAACAUGGUAGGAUGAGAAUCUCAAACAAGAAUUUGCAACAUUAACCAAUACAAAGCAAAACAUUCAAAUCAAUUAGUUAAAAAAGGUACUACUUUAGAAUACUGGAAAACAAUAGCUAAAGCUUUCAAGGAAGUCUAAAGAGUGAGACAUAACCAAGCAAGCAUUGAAAAGGUGAUUUGCAAGAACUGGAAGCAAAACUUGGAGCUGGGAAAACGAAGAAGGAAGGGUAUACGAUCUCUUGUCAAAGUCUCAAUCUAAACAAUUGACAAGUAGGUACUUGUCGAAUGUGCGGUUCAAAUUGAUAGUUGAACACUGUAAUAUGUUAAAUUCUUUUGACAAUAGACCAUUAUUUGUACUGUAAUAUUGCUUUUGCUACCAUACUAACAUAGAACCACUAUAUAGCCAGCUUUGUAUUAAAAGGAUGAUCAUAUUUUACAUCAUUAUAAGACUCAAAUGAUUACAUGAAGCUUACUUGUUAUGUAAACUUCCUAUUAAUGGCAGUUAUUCAGAUCUGCCACCAUUUUUCAAAUACGGAAUCUCUUCAAUUUGAGAUAAAACCAUGGAAAUAAUAUAAUGGGGCCAUUGUACAAUAUAAUGCCGAUAUUCUUGGCUUGCCGAGUACAAGUAUGGAUCUCAAUUCUUAAGCAUAUGACCCCUUAAACAUAUUACUAAUAAAUUCAAAAUAUUCUUUAGAGAAUGAUGAACUAGCUCUCUUUCCAAUGUUAGAAGGAUCCCGACCCUCUGCAUUUACACGCAUUUAAAAGAAUGCGCAUUAAAUUAAUCUAAUGAUUUUAAUAAGUCCACAUCAGCAAACUUGUAUUAAACUAGAAACUAAUUAGUUGCACAUUACUAUUUCCCCAACAAACCGCAACCACACCCUACCCCACACUGCCAGCCAUGGCCACCACCUCCGUACCCACCUCUCAUCGAGGGAGGGAGGGAGUGCAGGAGGGAGACGGAGGUGGCAGCCAUGGCUGGCAGUGUGGGUUAGGGAGUAAGGGAGGGAGAGAGAGGAGAGAAGGAGGGAGGGAGGAAGGAAGACGGGAGGGUUGCAUUGCUAGGGAAAUAAUGUGGUGCAAUUGAUUAGUUUUUAGUUUAAUACAAGCUUGUUGAUGUGGACUUACUAAAAUAAUUAGAUUAAUUUAAUGAUUUGCAUUCUUUUAAAUGCAUGUAAAUGCACCAAUGCAAAAUGCAUAGGCUCGAGAUCCAUGUUGAAAUAUGUCCUAAAUUCGAAUCCACCAAUUCAGUCAAAAUAUAUAAUAUAUAUAGAUACAUAUAUUACCAAGAAUAAUGUCAGUUUUGUAUCCAUUACUUUCUUCCCCUAAUGCCCCACUUACAGGAGAAAAAUGAUAUUUCUACCCAAAGUAUAUGUAUAUAUAUAUGUAUAGCAUUUGAGGAGCUUCAAUUAGAUCAAAAUUUUACACUACAAAAACCAUUGUCAACUAUAUUACGUGAUGUUAACACAAUAUGGUAUAUAAAUGCAGUAAGUCUAGCAUUACCCUAUACGUAAAUAUAAGUUCAUGUUAACUGUUAAUUAAUCACUUCAAAAAUUGUGAUCUCAAGCCUUCAUAUAUAUGUAAAUUAUCUAUUUCUCAUAUAUUUUAGGAUUCGUUUGAUAACAUUUUUGGUUUUUGUUUUUUCUCAAGCAAACAAAAAAGGAAACGACAUAGAAGAAAAGAUAAAUAGAGAAGAGCCAUAUGAGAAGUAGAAAGGGCUGAGACUGAAUAAAACUGAAACUAAAUUAACAUCUGCGAUCAAAGAUAUUUUAGUUCUUUUACUCAUACUUAUUCAUAUCAUAUUUCUUCUCCAUUUCUUACUGUCUUUUUUUCUCCGGUGAUGAUUUUUACACACCUAUUUUAUACAUUUGCAUUUCUCCCUCUUAUUUUUCUACUUUGUUAAUUGUGUAAACAAAGUAAUCAAAGCAUAAAAAUAAGAGGGUGAGUGCAAACCGAUAAAACAAGAGUAUGAAAAUCGCUACCCUUUUCAUAAAUAGGAACUUGUUUUCCCUUUUCAUAAUAUAUAUAGACAUUUUUAUAUUUCUCGUACAGAUGAGAAUGCAUACAUAUAGAUUAAAGCAACUUUACUAAUCCCAUAACAAAAUUUUCUAAAACAGAAAUCCAGCGCCUGCAUACGUGCAUGGGCUGUACAAAGGAAAGGAACCAAAGCUAGGUCUCAUGGCAAGCAAACAAAAGUGCUGAAAGUUUAGCUGUCGAAUCUCCAUGAUAAUUAACAAAAGCAACAACUCCAGGCUCCAGGCAAACAUAUAUAUACAAGUAACGGCCGACAGUGCGCCGAGCAGUUGCCAUGUGGUGCAGCUUGGAAGGGCAGAAAAGAACAAACUAAUUAAGGAUCCUAAAGCUAACCAGAAAAAGGGGCUCUGAGUGAAAAACACAUGGCCCGGCCAAGUGCAGGGCAACACCUGUCAGCAAUGGACUCAUUACUUAGGAGAUGCUAAGAGAGAAGGGAACCAACAA
Non-coding RNA from Prunus avium (sweet cherry), 4234 nucleotides. The record is from RefSeq and is a predicted model, not a curated record. Lineage: Eukaryota; Viridiplantae; Streptophyta; Magnoliopsida; Rosales; Rosaceae.